CUAUACAUUACAACACUAUUGACCUUUUUCCUUGUCUUUACAGCUGGCAUGAUCCAAGACUCGUAAUACUUGUUUACCAAAAACCAUCCAAGCUAUGGGAUUGAAGGUAACGGCGAGUUUGUCGCUAAGAUUGGAAUCUUUCUUCAACACAUCAUCGACCGUAAAAAACUUAAGGGACACGAGAGAACAAAAUACGGAUGAAACGUGCUAAUUCUACCGUCACUCUGCUAAUCAGCUAAUGCAAAUCAGAGCGAUGCAGCAGGAAGAGGAACGGGAACUUGCUUCGGAAAUGCUCAUCAAACUGAGGUGGUUGAGGCUGCGAUUAAAAUUUGCCUCUUGUACGCAAUUUAUAGAAUGAUUCCAACGAGAAUUAUUGAUGCUGUUUAUAGAAAAAGUUAUUAGUAUAAUGUAUUCUAAGUAAGUAGAAUUAAACGCAAUCAAAUACAAUUUUUUAAAUUGAAAAUAA
Toxorhynchites rutilus septentrionalis is the source of this 466-nucleotide long non-coding RNA. RefSeq lists it as uncharacterized. The record is from RefSeq and is a predicted model, not a curated record. The transcript has 2 exons. NCBI's taxonomy places the organism in Eukaryota, Metazoa, Arthropoda, Insecta, Diptera, Culicidae.